Long non-coding RNA from Dicentrarchus labrax (European seabass), 439 nucleotides. RefSeq lists it as uncharacterized. The record is from RefSeq and is a predicted model, not a curated record. NCBI's taxonomy places the organism in Eukaryota, Metazoa, Chordata, Actinopteri, Moronidae. The transcript has 2 exons.
CAGUCGCAGAGGAUGUCGGGAAACAGAAGUGACCAUUCAGGUGGUGUUCAAAGAGGCAGCACCGCCACCUGCUGGACGCAGCGUGCAGAGUAGCUUGUCUCCUCUCACAGAUCCUCCUCAGCUGGUUGGAACAUCUGGAGAUGUACCAGCUCCUCCUGUAGUCGUCUCCUGGGGUGAUUCGACCACACAGCUCCCUGCUGUCUCUGUUGUCAGGCUCAUGUAGCCGAAACCUGCAGAAGAAAAAAAAAAAAUUAAUCUGUUACCAUGGCAACCACUACUCCUCCAUAUGAAAAUACAUCGGCUGUCUUUCAGUCCCCUCCCAUAAUGGCAAAUGUAAUCAAAGUCGCUCCAAAGAGAAAACUGAAGAUACUGUAACUAUAGUAAAAUUAAAUAGUUCUAGCUUCCUUUUUUAUUUUCACUUAAUAAAUACUUGAAUUAG